AAUAUUGGACAAUGGGGGGAACCCUGAUCCAGCCAUGCCGCGUGUGUGAAGAAGGUCUUCGGAUUGUAAAGCACUUUAAGUUGGGAGGAAGGGUUGUAGGCUAAUACCUUGCAAUUUUGACGUUACCAACAGAAUAAGCACCGGCUAACUUCGUGCCAGCAGCCGCGGUAAUACGAAGGGUGCAAGAGUUAAUCGGAAUUACUGUGCGUAAAGCGAGCGUAGGCGGUUCGUUAAGGUAGAAGUGAAAGCCCCGGGCUAAACCUGGGAUUUGCUUUCAAAACUGACGAGCUAGAGUACGGUAGAGGGUAGUGGAAUUUCCUGUGUAGCGGUGAAAUGCGUAGAUAUAGGAAGGAACAUCAGUGGCGAAGGCGACUACCUGGACUGAUACUGACACUGAGGUGCGAAAGCGUGGGGAGCAAACAGG
This 424-nucleotide ribosomal RNA is filed under the name uncultured bacterium. RNAcentral describes it as "partial 16S ribosomal RNA". It matches the Rfam family "Bacterial small subunit ribosomal RNA", at positions 360 to 776 of the family's 1533-position model. The record is from RNAcentral.